UACUUUCAGCAGUGAGGAAGGUGGGUAUGUUAAUAGCAUAUUCAUUUGACGUUUAGCUGCAGAAGAAGCACCGGCUAACUCCGUGCCAGCAGCCGCGGUAAUACGGAGGGUGCGAGCGUUAAUCGGAAUUACUGGGCGUAAAGCGCAUGCAGGUGGUUUGUUAAGUCAGAUGUGAAAGCCCGGGGCUCAACCUCGGAAUUGCAUUUUGAAACUGGCAAACUAGAGUACUGUAGAGGGGGUAGGAAUUUCAGGUGUAGCGGUGAAAUGCGUAGAGAUCUGAAGGAAUACCGGUGGCGAAGGCGGCCCCCUGGACCAGAUACUGACACUCAGAUGCGAAAGCGUGGGGAGCAAACAGGAUUAGAUACCCUGGUAG
RNAcentral lists this ribosomal RNA (373 nucleotides) under uncultured bacterium. RNAcentral describes it as "bacterial SSU rRNA". It matches the Rfam family "Bacterial small subunit ribosomal RNA", at positions 431 to 793 of the family's 1533-position model. The record is from RNAcentral.